RNAcentral lists this long non-coding RNA (1688 nucleotides) under Oryza brachyantha (malo sina). RNAcentral's name for it is "long non-coding RNA (OBRA_LNC002545)". Lineage: Eukaryota; Viridiplantae; Streptophyta; Magnoliopsida; Poales; Poaceae. The record is from RNAcentral.
UGCUGCUGCAUGUCCACCAGCCUGCAGAUAGAAUCAUGAGCGGUAUGUAAUUUCUACUUGCCCUUUUCUUUUGUUAUUCAAUAACACUAAUAAGGAUGAUAACUAUACCACGUAGGCAAGUACGUAGCAAGCAACAUGGUUGUUUUUCCACUCUUCUGCUUUUCUCUGCAACUUCUCAAAAGCACACCUUCAUCUGUUCAAGAGUGAAAACAGAAUAACACACAUUUGAUCUUGUUAGAUUUUUUUUCAUACCCUUUGCUUCUCAAAAGACUGCCCGGUAACAAUGAUACAUAUCAACCUAAAAAUAAUCAAAGUAGUGUUCUGUCAAUUAGAUUUUUAUGCAUUAAUCGAACUUGCUGCCAAAUAAUUAUACAAAGCUCUCCCCUGUUUUCUUAGGCAUCAGAUAUACCUGUUUACUUCCCGCAGAAAAAAGGAAAUAAUUUGUUUGGUGUUACAUGUUGCGCUGCCAAAAGAGAAAACAAAAACUAAAUCUGCUCCUCAUGAUUUCCUGCGAUGUUGCCAUACAUGCAGGGUUGUGUAAGGUUCCUGCAAAACAGCUAGAAGAAAAGGAGCUCAAGGCAUACAGAACGAUUGAGAAGGAUGAUAUGAACAAACUUUUAGACCAGUACCUGAGUUACUGCAAAGUAUUUCCAAAGGUCAGAUAAGUACUCACUCAGGUUUUAGGAAUGGGAAUUUUAUUUUUCAACAAACUGAACUAUAGUCAGCUUGGGAUCAAUUUCUGGAAAGAAAACAAUCGCUAUUUUAACCACAUUUUGUAUCAGGCCUAGACCAGUUAAGAUUUAUGGCUGUUCUGAUGAAGUGGAUUGAAUAAGAACAUCAAAAUACAGAAUUGAAUACAAUAUUUUAUAUCCUUUAUGCAAAUCAGAAGAUGUUCCCAUUCUUUGUCAUCUCAGCAUAAUCACCAAAUUUGCAGGUGCAAGCUGAAACAUUGGUGAUAGAGAAGAACAAUGUUGCAAACGGCAUUGUUGAGUUUAUUGAUAAACAUCAUAUUACAAAGCUUGUUAUGGGAACAUCUUCCUUCUCAGUGUAGGUCAACAUGCCCUUAUUCCAUUGCAGUGAAGCUUUUUUUUGGCGGGGUCAUUGCAGUGAAGCUUCAUCUGUUCAUUAUGAAUCACUGCUACUGAGCUGUCUCUAGACUGAGCAUGCUGUAGUCUUUAGAUGUGAUUAAAUAUCUGUCAUGUUUGUCUCAGUCAUUCUCACAAGUAUUGAUGGAAAAGGCAUCAAGAACAACAAGCAAAUACUUCCUUUGGAACAAUGCAUUUUUCCCUUCCUUAAACAACACAGCAAUAUACUUUUGUUGCAUAUUUCUUACUUAGCAAAUGGCAAGCAUAAUAUAACAUUACUCUCAACAGGCUAUGUUUUAAUAGCUAUCAUCUCCUUAUCUAUAGACCAGAUCCUCCUAUUAGAGUAUAAUCCAAAGUUUUCCAUGUGAUCAUGGAUCUUUCACGAACAGGAAGAGGCAAGUACCAAAAUCAAAAGUUGCAGGAACUGUACAUCAACUGGCCAAACCAUAUUGCCAGAUCUUAUAUAUUUGCAAAGAAUCUCUUGCUUGCACUAGGUAUGAAUGCUUAUGCAGUCCUCCAUCCAGUACAUAGAAUUACCAUUUUAACCAAAGGAAGAACUCAAAAAAAUUCUGACCUGAUAAAGCGAUGUUGUUGUGAUUGUUU